UCAUGAACGAUGGAAACUUAGAAAGCGAGU
Molecule: non-coding RNA, 30 nt
Filed under: Mus musculus (house mouse)
Lineage: Eukaryota; Metazoa; Chordata; Mammalia; Rodentia; Muridae
Source: RNAcentral